UGAAGAAGCAAUGAACCAAUUUGAUGUCUGAAUGCAAGGGAGGUCAAUACUAUACCAUUUUCGAAGGGAAGGAUCAUAGGCAUAACCAACUGGCUCCUCUGAGCUUGUGAACAUAAAGUACCACGGUUUUUGAGACAGCACCUGAGAGAAGUUCCAUAAAAACCUUCUUGAAUUCACUAUCUCACACCAUCUUUACACACACA
This 203-nucleotide unclassified non-coding RNA is filed under the name Hevea brasiliensis (rubber tree). Lineage: Eukaryota; Viridiplantae; Streptophyta; Magnoliopsida; Malpighiales; Euphorbiaceae. The record is from RNAcentral.